UACUCUCCUCACGUGUCCAGUGACGUACAGCUAGCCCGCCAUAGUACAGCGGUUUUAUGGCGCAGAAGCUACGGUAAGCGAUGUUAUAGAUUACGAAGCAGUUAAAUAACCAAUGACCAUAAAAACGGUAAUAGUGUUUCACAGGGUCAUGGGUGAACAAUAGUGGUGAAAUUCACGAAAGUGAUGUCGACGACGAGCUUCACGUGAGGAACAGAAACUACUGCUGCAGCGCAGCCUCGUUUUCCUGGUUCAUGGAAGGAGAACGUGCGGCAAUGACAUGCGCCCCAUCAAAAGCUCGAGUGGAAUUGUUAUGCGGGCCGACAACGCAGAGCCCUUUCAUCAGCAUCAUCGCCACCAACUGUUCACUACGUGGUGAAGACACAGGUGCGAACGACGAAUCUUGGAGCCUUUUCUUGUACUGUUACGUCUGUUGUUAUUCCUUGUUGCGAAAUAAACAUGUUCCUAUGAGAACUGUCA
Ornithodoros turicata is the source of this 477-nucleotide long non-coding RNA. RefSeq lists it as uncharacterized. Lineage: Eukaryota; Metazoa; Arthropoda; Arachnida; Ixodida; Argasidae. The record is from RefSeq and is a predicted model, not a curated record. The transcript has 3 exons.